Molecule: long non-coding RNA, 949 nt
Filed under: Marmota monax (woodchuck)
Lineage: Eukaryota; Metazoa; Chordata; Mammalia; Rodentia; Sciuridae
Source: RNAcentral
GCAGGUGUUUGAAUUAAUUAGUCAUAAAAUAUUUCAGAGCAACAAUUCCUUGGCAUCUGAUAAAAGAGAUAAUUUUGUAAUGGAUCACAGGAGAAAUAUUUUUUACCCAUGAAGAGUUUUCACUCUCCACAUUUUCAACUCUUUCCAAUUGGGAUGCAUUUUGCAAAGGAGAGCAAAUGCUAUUUAAUUGAUAAUGUUAAUUUUUCUUUCUUAGUGGUACAUAAUGAUUCAUUACUCACAGGAUGCUGUCUUAGUAAUAAAGAAACACAAUAGUUAAAAGAUAAAUGAAUACAUACACAGUAAAACUACCUGCUUAUGCAUAUCUACAUGAAUAAUAAAAUGAAAAAUAAAAGUACAGUAAUUGAAUACAUAAAUCCUGAGAGAAUAAAUACUUCUGAACACUUCAGGAUGCAACUUGGAGAGUCUGGCAAGAAAUCAAAUACACAUAAGCAUUUUAUCCCAACAGGUACAGAACAUACUUAAUGUGGAGUGUGAAGCUUAAAAAUUCUCAAGAUAAGCUUUUCUGUCUGUUAUUAACAUUUCCAUAAUCAAAAUUCUUUUUUCUUUUUCAUUGCUAUUUCCCUCACUUAUCCCCAUAUCUUUCAAAAGCCUUUAAAAUGGAAGUAACAGAAAUGCACAGUGUGGACCACAGAAGGAAGGGGGAAUUCCAUGAGGUGGCCCCAAGGGGCUGGGACAAACACAAGUCAGUCAGAUGGAAACAGCUGAUAUGUUUAUGUGACCACACUGUUUCUGCCUUAGCUCAUUUGACAGUCAAAUACACCUUUUAGACAGUUUUUGAACUGCAUGGUAAAGAAGAAUGUUUAAAGGCUGAUGUGCUAAGGGAUCUCAGGGGAAGUCCUGUGGCUUUGGGCAAUCAGCUGGGGAUUCCCCAAGCUUCAUUUCCCUUAUAUUAAAAAUUAGCAGUCUAAAGAGUUCACUGGGUAUACUA